Molecule: long non-coding RNA, 7934 nt
Filed under: Solanum lycopersicum (tomato)
Lineage: Eukaryota; Viridiplantae; Streptophyta; Magnoliopsida; Solanales; Solanaceae
Description: long non-coding RNA (SLYC_LNC001050)
Source: RNAcentral
UAAACUCUUAAUAGCGAAUGAUAUGUGUUAGUAGUAUUGUAAACCUUCUAUAUGCUUAAUUGUAUGCUUGCAUGAAUGAUGUGAUUAUGUAAUUGUUAAUAAAUAAGCAUGAUGAAGCUAUUGAAUCCCAAAUCUUGAAAAGAAACCCUAAUCUACUUUGUUAAUGAAGAUGCCUUGGUAUAGAAGAAGGCUUGAUGAAUUAAAGUAAUGGGAUUGAUGAUGCCAUGGUAUAGAGAAGGCUUGAUGAUUUACAGAAUGAUAUUAGUGGAUCGGAGUGUCACGUUCCGACACAUAGUAUUAGUGGAUCGGAGUGUCACGUUCCGACACAUAGUAUUAGUGGAUCGGAGUGUCACGUUCCGACACAUAGUAUUAGUGGGACGGGUGUCAGGAACCGACACGUAGAAUUAGGGGAUCGGAGUGUCACGUACCGACACAUAUAGGGGAUCGGAGUGUCACGUACCGGCACAUAUAGGGGAUCGGAGUGUCAUGUACCGACACAUAUAGGGGAUCGGGUGUCACGAACCGACACGUAGAAUUAGGGGAUCGGAGUGUCAUGUACCAACACAUAGUAGUAGGGGAUCGGAGUGUCACGUACCGACACAAGAGGAAGAAAGAUAAUGAAUCUUGAAAGAUGAUAAUAUACUCAACUUAAUAAACUUAAUUCCCAAAUGAGUAUGGCAUUGAGGCUUGAGCCCUCAUGGAUGAACUUGAUGGUACUUAUUGAUGAUUAUAGUACCUAUUGUUGCUACAUGUUGAGUUUUAUAGUUGAAUUAUGAUAUUACUUGAUAUAUACUGUUCUCUAUUUUGAGUUGACCGAUGAUAUCUACUCAGUACCCGUGGUUUGUACUGACCCCUACUUUUUAUGUUUUCUUCUUGUUAUUUGUGGAGUGCAGCAAACGUUCCGUCAUCUUCAACUCAGCAGUGAUUCUAGCCAGUCUUCGUCAUACCGGAUAUUCAGGAUGAGCUAAUGCUUCUAGCUUGGACUGGGUCUUCUUCUUCAAGUCUUGAUGCCUUGAACUUCCGGCAUGGACUAGCUUCUUAUGUAUUUUUAGCUUUUAGAGUAUUCUUAGUUUAGUCAUUUGAUCGUAGAUGUUCUUGUGAUGGUGACUUCCAGAUUUUGGGGAAUAAUAGAUGUUGAAUUUUAGAAGUUAAUGAAUUGGUCUUUAUUUAAUGAGUUUAAGUCUUCCGCAUUACUUUCUGUUUAUAUUAUAUUGAAAUGUUAAGGUUUAGAUUGGUUGGUUCGCUCACAUAUGAGGGUAAGUGUGGCACGGAUUUGGGUCGUGACAAACUUGGUAUCAGAGCCUUAGGUUCGUUGGUCUCAUCACACAAGAACAGGUCUAGUAGAGUCUUAAGGAACGGUAGGGGGACGCCUUUACUUUUCCUUGAGAGGCUAUAAGACUUUAGGAAAAUUUCACUCUUUCAUUCUUUCUUUCGUGCUGCUACUUGAGUCCAAUUGGUAUCUAGGCAAUACGAAUUGGUAUCUGACCAUCUUCACUCUCUUUCGCAGAUGGUUAGAACUAGAGCAACGACUACGCCAACACCAACACCAGCACCGGCGGGACAGGGUGCGUCUGAGACAGCCACUGGGGCUGUAGCUCGAGGAAGAGCAGCGACAAGAGGCCGUGGUAGAGGUCGUGGGAGGACGUCCUCUAGGGGAAGAGGACGAGCACCUAGCCCAUUUGAUACUAGGGCAGUGACUCCUCCACCGACUGAGGAAGUAAUAAGAGAAGGGGAGGAUGGGGAAACUGAACAAGUGCAAAAUGAGGAAAUGCCACCCCAACCUACCCCAGAGAUGAUCAAUCAGGUUCUGGCUUAUCUUAGCGGGUUAUCUGAUCAAGGUCAGGCACCUCCAGUGUUUUCUGCGCCAACACCUCCGGUUUCAGAAGUACAACAUGCAGCCACUAUGGCUCCUCGUAUGGAGGCCUCAUUGGACAUAGGCACAUUUCCACGUCUGACUACUGGGCCUAUAAUGACAAAUGAUCAGCAUGAACUUUUCAGUAAGUUCUUGAAAUUGAAACCUCCGGUCUUCAAGGGUGCUGAAUCGGAGGAUGCUUAUGAUUUUCUGGUUGACUGUCACGAGCUACUACACAAGAUGGGUAUAGUAGAACGGUUUGGUGUGGAGUUUGUGACUUAUCAGUUUCAAGGGAACGCCAAAAUGUGGUGGCGGUCACAUAUCGAGUGUCAACCAAUAGAGGCACCACCUAUGACUUGGGCCUCAUUCUCUAGCUUGUUUAUGGAGAAGUAUAUCCCCCGAACUUUGAGGGAUAGGAAAAGGGAUGAGUUCUUGAGCCUAGAGCAAGGUAGGAUGUCGGUCAAUGCAUAUGAGGCUAAGUUUCAUGCAUUAUCCCGGUAUGCCACCCAACUAUGUUUCAGUCCACAAGAGUGAAUUCGCCGGUUUGUAAAGGGGUUGAGGUCAGAAUUGCGGAUUUCGGCCUUACAGAUAGCGGCAACGGCAAAAUCCUUCCAAGAGGUGGUAGACUUUGUGAUAGAAGUGGAAGGAGUGAAUCCAGACGACUUCACUAUGACAUCGACAUCAAAAAGGUUUCAAAAGGGAGGUGAGUUUAAUGGUGCUUACACUAGAGGACAGGGUUCGGGAAGUUACUCAGUCCGACCAAUUCAGUCUUCACUACAGACUGUAGUUGGGGGACCACCUCAGACCGGUCAACACUUCUCCGAGAGGCCUAUGCUUGACUCCAGAGAGAGUUAUGGAUGUGGGGAGAUUGGACAUAUUAGGAAAAGUUGUCCCAGACAAAGUUAUAGACCCCCAAUAGCUAGAGGUAGAGGUGGUCAUGGUAGAGGCCGUUAUUCUGGAGGACGUGGUGGUCGAGGUAAUGUUGGUCACCAAAACGGCCGAGGUGAUGGGAAAACUGGAGCCACUACAUCACAACAAGGUAGGGGCAACGGACAGACUAACGAUAGGGCCCAUGUUACGCUUUCCCUGGGCGGUCUGAAGCGGAGGCAUAUGAUGCUGUCAUCACAGGUAAUCUUUUGGUUUGUGAUUGCAUGGCUUCUGUAUUGUUUGAUCCUGGAUCCACAUUUUCUUAUGUAUCUUCCUCAUUUGCUAAUGGUCUAACUUUACAUUGUGAAUUACUUGAUAUGCCUAUUCGUGUUUCUACUCCGGUGGGUGAGUCUGUGGUAGUUGAAAAGGUGUAUAGGUCUUGUUUGGUGAACUUUGUGGGGAGCAACACUUAUGUAGAUUUGGUUAUCUUAUAAAUGGAUGAUUUAGAUGUAAUUCUGGGUAUGACUUGGCUUUCUCCGCAAUUUGUGAUCUUGGAUUAUAAUGCUAAAACGGUGACGUUAGCCAAGCCUGGGACAGAUCCGUUAGUGUGGGAGGGUGACUACACUUCCAAUCCGGUGCGUAUCAUCUCCUUUCUUCGUGCUAAGAAAAUGGUUAGUAAAGGGUGUUUAGCUUUCUUGGCACAUCUCAAGGAUGACACUACCCAAGUACCUUCGAUUGAGUCGGUUUCGGUAGUCCGCGAGUUUUUGGAUGUGUUCCCUGCAGAUCUUCCUGGUAUGCCACCAGAUAGGGAUAUUGACUUCUGUAUCGACCUUGAACCGGGCACACGCCCCAUUUCUAUACCCCCUUAUAGAAUGGCUCCCGCGGAGUUAAGAGAGUUAAAAGCCCAACUUCAAGAGUUGUUAAACAAAGGCUUUAUUAGACCAAGUGCAUCUCCUUGGGGUGCUCCGGUUUUGUUUGUGAAGAAGAAGGAUGGGAGUUUUCGAAUGUGCAUAGACUACAGACAACUGAAUAAGGUAACCAUAAAGAACAAGUAUCCUCUUCCUCGCAUUGAUGACUUGUUCGAUCAGUUACAAGGUGCUUAUGUCUUCUCUAAGAUUGACUUGAGAUCUGGUUAUCAUCAAUUGAAAACCGGGCAACGGAUGUGCCAAAGACUGCUUUUCGAACGAGGUAUGGGCAUUACGAAUUUGUAGUGAUGUCUUUUGGUCUUACGAAUGCCCAUGCUGCAUUCAUGAGCUUGAUGAACGGGAUUUUUAAGCCAUAUUUGGAUCUCUUCAUGAUCGUAUUUAUUGAUGAUAUAUUGGUAUACUCAAAGAGCAAGAAGGAACAUGAAGAGCAUUUGAGAAUGGUAUUGGAAAUGUUGAGGGAGAAAAAGCUUUAUGCCAAGUUCUCUAAGUGUGAGUUUUGGCUAGAUGCAGUGUCCUUCUUGGGGCACGUGGUUUCUAAAGAAGGAGUGAUGGUGGAUCCUUCUAAGAUUGAGUCAGUGAAGAAUUGGGUAAGACCUACUAAUGUAUCGGAAAUAAGGAGCUUUGUUGGGUUAGCAAGCUACUACCGCCGAUUUUUCAAGAGAUUCUCUUCUAUUGCUUCCCAAUUGACGAACUUGACUAAGCAGAAUGUUCCAUUUGUAUGGUCGGACGAAUGUGAGGAAAGCUUUCAGAAGCUCAAGACUUUGUUGACUACCGCAUCUAUCCUUACCUUGCCAGUAGAGGGUAAGAACUUCAUUGUUUAUUGUGAUGCAUCCUAUUCUGGUUUGGGUGCAGUACUAAUGCAAGAGAAGAGUGUGAUUGCUUAUGCUUCAAGGCAAUUAAAGGUACAUGAACGUAACUAUCCAACUCAUGAUUUGGAAUUGGCUGCGGUAGUAUUUGCAUUAAAGCAAUGGAGACACUACUUAUAUGGGGUUAAGUGUGAGAUCUAUACAGAUCAUCGUAGCCUACAGUACGUCUUUACUCAGAAAGAUUUGAACUUGAGACAGAGGAGAUGGAUGGAGAUACUAAAGGACUACGAUAUCACUAUCUUGUAUCAUCCGGGAAAGGCGAAUGUUGUAGCGGAUGCUUUAAGUAGAAAGGCGGGAAGCAUGGGAAGUCUAGCUCACUUGCAAGCUUCUAGACGCCCAUUGGCUAGAGAGGUUCAGACUCUAGCUAAUGACUUGAUGAGAUUAGAAGUAAAUGAGAAGGGAGGAUUGUUGGCUUCUGUGGAGGCAAGAUCUUUCUUCCUUGACAAGAUUAAGGGAAGACAGUCUGAUGAUGAGAAACUGCGCAGAAUUCAAGAUAAGGUAUUGCAAGGAGAGGCUAAGGAAGCACAAAUCGAUGAGGAAGGUGUUUUGAGGAUCGAGGGAAGGGUAUGCGUACCCCGCGUCGAUGAUUUGAUCAACACUAUUCUGACAGAGGCUCAUAGUUCGAGGUAUUCGAUACAUCCGGGUGCAACCAAGAUGUACCGUGACCUAAAGCAACACUUUUGGUGGAGUAGAAUGAAGCGUGACAUUGUGGAUUUUAUUGCCAAAUGUCCAAACUGUCAACAAGUAAAGUAUGAACACCAGAGGCCCGGAGGAACACUUCAGAGAAUGCCCAUUCCUGAAUGGAAGUGGGAGAGAAUUGCAAUGGACUUUGUGGUUGGUCUCCCCAAGACAUUGGGAAAGUUUUAUUCUAUUUGGGUAAUUGUUGAUAGGUUAACUAAGUCUGCUCACUUCAUUCCGGUCAAGGUGACUUACAAUGCAGAGAAGUUAGCCAAACUUUACAUCUCGGAAGUGGUGCGAUUGCAUGGAGUUCCACUAUCCAUCAUAUCAGAUAGAGGUACGCAGUUUACUUCUAAGUUUUGGAAAACAUUGCAUGCGGAAUUGGAUACUAGGUUGGACCUUAGUACCGCGUUCCAUCCUCAGACCGAUGGUCAGUCUGAGCGAACGAUUCAAGUGUUGGAGGAUAUGCUUCGUGCAUGUGUGAUAGAGUUUGGUGGUCAUUGGGAUAGCUUCCUACCCUUAGCGGAAUUUUCAUACAAUAAUAGCUAUCACUCAAGCAUUGAUAUGGCUCCAUUUGAAGCAUUGUAUGGUAGGAGAUGUAGGUCUCCCAUUGGUUGGUUUGAUGCGUUCGAGGUUAGACCUUGGGGUACUGAUCUCUUGAGGGAUUCGAUGGAAAAAGUGAAGUCUAUUCAAGAAAAGCUUCUAGCGGCGCAAAGUAGACAAAAAGAAUAUGCAGAUCGAAAGGUUAGAGACUUAGAGUUCAUGGAGGGUGAACAAGUCUUGUUGAAAGUUUCACCAAUGAAAGGGGUGAUGCGGUUUGGUAAAAGGGGUAAACUAAGUCCAAGGUACAUUGGACCGUUUGAAGUACUUAAGCGAGUAGGGGAGGUGGCUUAUGAGUUAGCCUUGCCUCCAGGGCUGUCUGGAGUACAUCCGGUAUUCCAUGUGUCGAUGUUGAAAAGAUACCAUGGGGAUGGAAACUACAUUAUCCGUUGGGAUUCAGUUUUGCUUGAUGAGAACUUGUCUUAUGAGGAGGAGCCUGUUGCUAUUCUAGAUAGAGAAGUUCGCAAGUUGAGGUCAAGAGAGAUUGCAUCCAUCAAGGUGCAAUGGAAGAAUCGACCGGUUGAAGAAGCCACUUGGGAGAAGGAGGCAUAUAUGCGAGAAAAAUACCCACAUCUGUUUACAGAUUCAGGUACUCCUUUUCGACCUUGUUUUCCUUCUUUUGAUCGUUCGGGGACGAACGAUGGGCAAAUUGGUAUCUAUUGUAAUGACCUAUUUAGUCGUUUUGAGCAGCAGAUUUUAUUCUGGAAAAAACAGGCUGAGGUGACGGACCCCACGACGGACCGUCAUGGGCACGACGGACCGUCGCAGGGUCUCAUUUCAAAACACUUAGAAAAUCUGAAAUUGGGUACUGAAAAUCGACUCUCUGAACUUCGUAACGGAGUGGCAGGACGGACCGUCAAAGGUGUGACGGACUGUCACAGGCCAUUCACCCAAAAUCAAGUUUCUGAACUAUGCGACUAACAGCAGGACGGACCGUCGCAAGCGCGACGGCCCGUCACAGUUUGCAUAAUCCCAGUUGGAGUCGGAUUUCUGGUUAAGUUUUAAGGGACGUUUUUGACUAUUCUUGCCUUAAUUAUAAAGUUCGUGGGUUUAUAUUAAUAACUCAAAUUCUUGGGGGUUAAAAGAGGUAACCCUAAGUUAAUUAGUCGGGUAUUAUUGCCAUAUUUUAUUCUUAAUUAUAUACUAAUUAGGGUAAAAGAAAGAGGGUUUGAAUAAGAAAAUAGAAAGAACAAGAAGGGAGAGAGAGAAACGAUCAAGAAGAAGAGGAAAACACCAAGCUUUGAGGAUUAACUUGCUUGAUUUCAAUUCUUCGGUGGAGGUAGGUUAUGGUUUCAUGCUAUUUGAUAGUAAACUCUUAAUAGCGAAUGAUAUGUGUUAGUAGUAUUGUAAACCUUCUAUAUUCUUAAUUGUAUGCUUGCAUGAAUGAUGUGAUUAUGUAAUUGUUAAUAAAUAAGCAUGAUGAAGCUAUUGAAUCCCAAAUCUUGAAAAGAAACCCUAAUCUACUUUGUUAAUGAAGAUGCCUUGGUAUAGAAGAAGGCUUAAUGAAUUAAAGUAAUGGGAUUGAUGAUGCCAUGGUAUAGAGAAGGCUUGAUGAUUUACAGAAUGAUAUUAGUGGAUCGGAGUGUCACGUUCCGACACAUAGUAUUAGUGGAUCGGAGUGUCACGUUCCGACACAUAGUAUUAGUGGAUCGGAGUAUCACGUUCCGACACAUAGUAUUAGUGGGACGGGUGUCACGAACCGACACUUAGAAUUAGGGGAUCAGAGUGUCACGUAGCGACACAUAUAGGGGAUCGGAGUGUCACGUACCGACACAUAUAGGGGAUCGGAGUGUCAUGUACCGACACAUAUAGGGGAUCGGGUGUCACGAACCGACACGUAGAAUUAGGGGAUUGGAGUGUCACGUACCGACACAUAGUAGUAGGGGAUCGGAGUGUCACGUACCGACACAAGAGGAAGAAAGAUAAUGAAUCUUGAAAGAUGAUAAUAUACUCAACUUAAUAAACUUAAUUCCCAAAUGAGUAUGACAUUGAGGCUUGAGCCCUCAUGGAUGAACUUGAUGGUACUUAUUGAUGAUUAUAGUACCUGUUGUUGCUACAUGUUGAGUUUUAUAGUUGAAUUAUGAUAUUACUUGAUAUAUACUGUUCUCUAUUUUGAGUUGACCGAUGAUAUCUACUCAGUACCCG